RNAcentral lists this ribosomal RNA (1390 nucleotides) under Lactiplantibacillus plantarum subsp. plantarum. RNAcentral describes it as "bacterial SSU rRNA". It matches the Rfam family "Bacterial small subunit ribosomal RNA", at positions 70 to 1427 of the family's 1533-position model. Lineage: Bacteria; Bacillati; Bacillota; Bacilli; Lactobacillales; Lactobacillaceae. The record is from RNAcentral.
CUCUGGUAUUGAUUGGUGCUUGCAUCAUGAUUUACAUUUGAGUGAGUGGCGAACUGGUGAGUAACACGUGGGAAACCUGCCCAGAAGCGGGGGAUAACACCUGGAAACAGAUGCUAAUACCGCAUAACAACUUGGACCGCAUGGUCCGAGUUUGAAAGAUGGCUUCGGCUAUCACUUUUGGAUGGUCCCGCGGCGUAUUAGCUAGAUGGUGGGGUAACGGCUCACCAUGGCAAUGAUACGUAGCCGACCUGAGAGGGUAAUCGGCCACAUUGGGACUGAGACACGGCCCAAACUCCUACGGGAGGCAGCAGUAGGGAAUCUUCCACAAUGGACGAAAGUCUGAUGGAGCAACGCCGCGUGAGUGAAGAAGGGUUUCGGCUCGUAAAACUCUGUUGUUAAAGAAGAACAUAUCUGAGAGUAACUGUUCAGGUAUUGACGGUAUUUAACCAGAAAGCCACGGCUAACUACGUGCCAGCAGCCGCGGUAAUACGUAGGUGGCAAGCGUUGUCCGGAUUUAUUGGGCGUAAAGCGAGCGCAGGCGGUUUUUUAAGUCUGAUGUGAAAGCCUUCGGCUCAACCGAAGAAGUGCAUCGGAAACUGGGAAACUUGAGUGCAGAAGAGGACAGUGGAACUCCAUGUGUAGCGGUGAAAUGCGUAGAUAUAUGGAAGAACACCAGUGGCGAAGGCGGCUGUCUGGUCUGUAACUGACGCUGAGGCUCGAAAGUAUGGGUAGCAAACAGGAUUAGAUACCCUGGUAGUCCAUACCGUAAACGAUGAAUGCUAAGUGUUGGAGGGUUUCCGCCCUUCAGUGCUGCAGCUAACGCAUUAAGCAUUCCGCCUGGGGAGUACGGCCGCAAGGCUGAAACUCAAAGGAAUUGACGGGGGCCCGCACAAGCGGUGGAGCAUGUGGUUUAAUUCGAAGCUACGCGAAGAACCUUACCAGGUCUUGACAUACUAUGCAAAUCUAAGAGAUUAGACGUUCCCUUCGGGGACAUGGAUACAGGUGGUGCAUGGUUGUCGUCAGCUCGUGUCGUGAGAUGUUGGGUUAAGUCCCGCAACGAGCGCAACCCUUAUUAUCAGUUGCCAGCAUUAAGUUGGGCACUCUGGUGAGACUGCCGGUGACAAACCGGAGGAAGGUGGGGAUGACGUCAAAUCAUCAUGCCCCUUAUGACCUGGGCUACACACGUGCUACAAUGGAUGGUACAACGAGUUGCGAACUCGCGAGAGUAAGCUAAUCUCUUAAAGCCAUUCUCAGUUCGGAUUGUAGGCUGCAACUCGCCUACAUGAAGUCGGAAUCGCUAGUAAUCGCGGAUCAGCAUGCCGCGGUGAAUACGUUCCCGGGCCUUGUACACACCGCCCGUCACACCAUGAGAGUUUGUAACACCCAAAGU